This 570-nucleotide ribosomal RNA is filed under the name Triticum aestivum (bread wheat). RNAcentral's name for it is "partial small subunit ribosomal RNA". Lineage: Eukaryota; Viridiplantae; Streptophyta; Magnoliopsida; Poales; Poaceae. The record is from RNAcentral.
GCAUCUUCCAAGCUGUCGCUGACCGUAGUGGUCGUCGCGGUGUUUCUGCUCGGCUUGGCGGGCGCCGCCCACGGCAGGAGGAAGCUCGUCUCCAGCGCCAACGACGAGCCGUGCAAGAAGAUGACGCUCUACUACCACGACAUCCUCUACGACGGCGGCAACAACACGGCGAACGCCACGUCGGCAGCGGCCACGGAGCCGACGGCGCUGAGCAAUAGCACCUACUUCGGCAUGCUGGUGGUGUUCGACGACCCCAUGACCAAAAGGAAGGCGCUGCCCGUUGGAAAUGAGCUGCCCACGGCGCGCGCGCAGGGGUUCUACUUCUACGACAAGAAAGGGUCCUUGAACUCGUGGUUCGCUUUCUCACUCGUGUUCAACUCCACGGCGUACAAGGGCACCCUCAACCUCAUGGGCGCCGACCUCAUGGGCGAGAGAACGCGGGACAUCUCCGUCGUGGGCGGCACCGGCGACUUCUUCAUGGCGCGCGGCAUCGCCACGCUCCGCACCGACGCCAUGGAGGGCUUGUACUACUUCCGCUAUGGACAUCAAACUCUACGAGUGCUAUGUCUG